Amphiprion ocellaris (clown anemonefish) is the source of this 465-nucleotide long non-coding RNA. RefSeq lists it as uncharacterized. The record is from RefSeq and is a predicted model, not a curated record. NCBI's taxonomy places the organism in Eukaryota, Metazoa, Chordata, Actinopteri, Pomacentridae. The transcript has 4 exons.
CCUGUGUCUACAUAAACCCACUUCUCCUCCUGUUCGUGUUCGUCUUGUGUCGCCUCACCAGCCGUUUUCUACGUGUGUUUUCCCAGCGUUACCUGCAUACCUGGCCUCAUGCCAGUAUGCUAAUUCCCCUCAGAUGGUCUUUUCAUUGGUUGAUGCUGACUCCACACGUGCCAGAUGACUGCCCUCUCAUCCCACUAUUAAAGACCACCGUGAUGGGUAUGGCAAGAAGACCAUUACAUUAAGAUCAGACAUUCGUCCAGCUCACCACAUUUUCACUGUUGAGUCCGACGCAUUCUCACGGCUGGAUCACCAACAUGUGUGCCAAAGUACCCUGUUCACAGCAUGUAGAAAGCGUGAAUGUGCUGAAAACCAACACCGAAGCCAACUGGCAGUCAAAGGGUGUCUCCACGACGCACACGGAGCUCCACUAUUUGUCAUUCACCAGCUCCAGUCGGGGAGGCGGCG